GCGGGAAUGGCGGAAUUGGCAGACGCGCCAGGUUGAGGGCCUGGUUGGGGUAACCUAGUGGAGGUUCAAGUCCUCUUUCCCGCA
This 84-nucleotide transfer RNA is filed under the name Planctomycetaceae bacterium. RNAcentral's name for it is "tRNA-Leu". It matches the Rfam family "tRNA". From Rfam's summary of the family: Transfer RNA (tRNA) molecules are approximately 80 nucleotides in length. Their secondary structure includes four short double-helical elements and three loops (D, anti-codon, and T loops). Further hydrogen bonds mediate the characteristic L-shaped molecular structure. tRNAs have two regions of fundamental functional importance: the anti-codon, which is responsible for specific mRNA codon recognition, and the 3' end, to which the tRNAs corresponding amino acid is attached (by aminoacyl-tRNA synthetases). tRNAs cope with the degeneracy of the genetic code in two manners: having more than one tRNA (with a specific anti-codon) for a particular amino acid; and 'wobble' base-pairing, i.e. permitting non-standard base-pairing at the 3rd anti-codon position. The record is from RNAcentral. Lineage: Bacteria; Pseudomonadati; Planctomycetota; Planctomycetia; Planctomycetales; Planctomycetaceae.